Molecule: long non-coding RNA, 31245 nt
Filed under: Populus trichocarpa (black cottonwood)
Lineage: Eukaryota; Viridiplantae; Streptophyta; Magnoliopsida; Malpighiales; Salicaceae
Description: long non-coding RNA (PTRI_LNC003669)
Rfam family: MIR2912 microRNA precursor family (bases 1908-2062)
Source: RNAcentral
CACGUAUACUUUAAUCUCCUUUUGCAUCAUGUUGUGAAAUAGGGCCAUCAUGGCCCUUUGGUAGGUGGAUCCAACAUUCUUUAACCUAAAUAUCAUGACUUUGUAGCAAAAGGUUCCCUAUGGUGUUACAAAGGUUAUCUUUUCCUUAUCCUAUUGUGCCAUUUUCAUUUGUUUGUAGCCCGAAAAUCCAUCCAUAGAGUAAUAUGGAUCGACCAACACAUCUAUAUGUGGUAGAGGAAAAUUAUCCUUAGAACUAAACCGGUUUAAGUCCCUAAAGUCCAAAUAUUGAUUUUAUCCUUUUUUUUUGGCACGACAACUAUGUUGGACACCUAUUGUGGAUACUUGACUAUUUUUAGAAAAUCGGUGUUCCACUGCUUUUUAAUUUUUGCCUUUAUUCGAAUUGGUCCUUCUCAACCUUUGCUUAACCGACUUGCAUCCUUCUACUAGUGGUAUCCUAUACAAACCAGGCAUAUCCUUGUAGGACUAGAAAAAAAAUCUACAUAAUCUUGGAGUAGUGCAAUUAACUUUUCUCCUUCUUUUAGAGGUGAUCAAAGUCCCUAUCUUCAACUCUCUCUUGAUUUUUUCAUUGCCCACAUCUAUGGUUUCAAAUUCCUCUUUAGCGGGUUUCCAAGCUUGUUCAUGUUGUUCUUAUUAAUUUUUAUGAAUCCCCUAAUGUUAUUUCCCUCUCAUUCUUCUUCUUCUACAACUAAUAUGUAUUCUUUAAAGUUCGGCCAUUCAUUCUAAGUGUAAAGUGCAGGUGUUGUUAUGAAAGAUCCGCUUUGAAAACGGAAAGUGAUGUGUAAAAACAUCAAGAUGAACUUUUAAAAAUGCAUGAUCUCAUUAAAAGGAAAAGUUUGGCUAAAAAAAAAAAACAAGGAUAAAAUCCAAUUGACAUUUGGAAACUCGAUUUAAAAAGCUGAAAAAGGCAAACAAUAUAAUAUCAUGAUCAAACAAGCAUUGUUGAUUAAAUUUUGAACACCAAUGGAGCUUCUUGGGUCUCCCAAUUCUGGAACAUCUCUCCUUUGGCUAGCUUUUGAAUGAAGGUCUUGAGAUUCAAGAUGUUUUGAGCUUAGGCUUGUUUGGAUGCAAAAUGAUAUUGUGGAGCAUACAUCCUAAGGAUAGGUUCUAGUUCCUUUAUGUGAGACAUAGGGUAGGUUUACUACUUGGUCUCUAAAAAGAGUCUCUUGCUGUCCUAGUGAUCACCCUCGUAAAGGCAAUAUAGGGGUUCAGCAGAUAGUGGGAUGACACAUGUACCAAUCACUAUCAGUCUAAACACUCAGCAAAGAGUUGGGGUUUACACAAACUUAAACCUUGACUCAAGUCAUAAGGCAAGCUGCUAGUCCCCCACUUAACUUAAAGUUUAAUGUGUGUGCUCUCCAAAAAGAAAAUAAUAGUAAAGUGAUGAAUGACUACAUCAUGUAUGACAGAAUGUAAAGAUGUAUGCUAAAGCUUUUAAACAAAUUAUCAUUCAUAGUAAAAAAACAACAACACAUAGCAUAAUAACAAAAACAAUUACCAAGCUUAGUCCAAGGAUCCCCAGUGGAGUCGCCAUCCUGUUGCACGUCCCCCGCGCGGCGUCUGAUGGCGAUUUUUUGUUUGAUUUCAAGUUUAUUUGUUUUUGUGACUAAAGGAGUCGCCACCUAGUAUUAUGGUCACUAGGAAACCUAACUGGUCUUUCAGAGAUUCUAAGGCAAGGGACUGGUUGCGUAAAGGGAAGGUAUUAGCACCCCUAGUACGCCCUACCUAAGGUAAGCUGCUUGGUGUUUGGUUUGCCUUAUAAUAGCUAUGGUGUUGGUGUUUUCUAAUGUCAUUGCUAACGUCAGCAUUUGAACAUAUUUUCAUCAUGAAAGUUCUAGGAAAUUAUCUAAGCUUUCCAAAAAAAAAAAAACAAUCGGUGCAUUUAAACUUCUAGAACUCGAGAUAUGGGCUGAACACUGAACAAUGUCUGGGCUGCAGGACAAAUUUCGACUUCUCCUUUGUUGCUACAAUUUGAACUUGAAAAUGACCUUUUAAAAUCUUGCACUCCUAUAAAAGUUUUAGGCCUAUGUCUUAGCUUUCUAGCCAUGUAAACCAAACUGAAAUCCAAGAUCUACAGCUCCAGAUAUGACCCAAUGACUGAACAGUGUUCCAGUUUGGACUAAACCAGCAUCUCUUUUCUAAGCUUAACCCUCUCUGUCUUCUCAAUUUCAGUAGUUAAAAUCAUCAAUCAAUCCUUUCAUUUAUGUGAUAGGCCUGCAUUUAAGAUGAACAUUUACCAUAAAUUAAAGUUAUCUUAUAGUAUUAGACAUGAUAUUAUAAAACAUGCUCUAGUUAAGGAGUUAUUGAUACUUCAAGUGCAAAAUGAUGAUAUAAAACCUUGAUAAAAAUGCACUUUUAAGUGCUAAUAAAAAAUGCAAGAACAUGUUUCUGCAUGUAUUUCGGGAUUUAAUAGUUGAUUUAUUAAAGAUUUAAGAAUUUGGUUCAUAUUUUACUUUUUUUAAAUCACAUCAAAUCACAAAUUAAGCAGCUUACCUCAAGUAGGAUGCGCUAGGGGUGCUAAUACCUUCCCUAGUCACAACCAGUCCCUUACCUUCGAAUCUCUGACAACGACCAGUACAUCCGGGUUUCCUAAUAACCCUCAAUCAAAUACUAGGUGGCGACUUCCAAAUCAAGUAAAAGAACAAAAAUCGCCAUCGAUGCCGCACGAGGGACGUGCGACAUGCUUCAUACCAAAAAUCAUGCAACCUACUUCCACAGUGACAAAUUAGAUUUUAAAACAUAAUGUUUUUUUUAAAAAAAAUAUCGUAUUUUUUUCGGUGUCAUACCUAGUUGCUGAGUGAUUUUCCCAUACCCUCCUCACAACAUUGUCAAGCGCAGUGUCUCAAUCGAAUUUGUCCUGUGUAUAAACAAUUUAUUUAAAAUAAAAAUAAUAAUUUAUUUACAAUUAUAAUAAUAAUUUAUUAAAAAUAAGCUGGAAAUUAGAAAUUAACACCAACCUUAAAUUUGUCAAACCAUGCAUCGAUAUAAGGUCUCCAUUCAGGAUGUCUGGAAACCUGACUCCAUUGAAAUAAUGGAAUCUCCAUCGACGAUUUAAACGCCGAUAAUAUUAGUCGGGCGGCCUCAAUGUUUGUGAACCUGAAAAUAAAUUAAAUUAAUGAAAUAUUAAUUAGUUAUUCAUAAAUUAUGUUAUAAUUAAAAAAAAACUAAAACCAAAACAAACUUACAUUGAAAGGUCGUUCUUCCAAUGUGCCUCGUACUUGCGAGUGAAUUGAUUCCGCUGUGAAGGCACAUCUCCUCUGCGCUGUGAAAUCGUGCUGGGAGAGGUAGCAUCGUGAGUCGGCGUAGGUGCCUCUUCUUGAUUGUUACCUAAGGACAUGUCAUCCUCACUACUAGAAGAACUAGUUGCGACCAUAUGUGAGCGACAAGCUGUUGAUUUCAUUCUACGCGUCUAAACAAUUUUAUACGAAUAAUUACAUAAUUAAAUUCAAUUGUUAAAAAAAAUUCGGCAGCACCUCCCCUAUACUGGAGACUACCCAAAGUUUUCAAACCUGCAAAUAUUGACAAUAGCCACAACCAAUUGACCCCAUUCAAAAAUCUUAUAUAUAACAUAACAUCUAUACAAAUAACAAUUAAAAUUAAUGGAAAUAAUUAAACACAUAUCAUGCAAUAAUAGAGUAAAAUUAAAAUUUAUUUCUAUAUAUUCAAUUACUAAUUACAAGGUAAAUUCAACAAUAACAAUUAAAAUUCAACAAAGUAUUCAAUUAUUAUGGCAAUACAAACAAUAAAAUAUAUUCAACAAAUUACAAAAAAAAACUAUAGACUUUAGGAAUGAAAAAUGCUUACCUUAAUAAUGUGUUUAUUUCAAGACUUUAUCUACAUUAUAAAAAUACACCAAAACAAAAAACACAAUAAAAAUAACAAUAAUUAAAAAAAAUAAAAUAUAAAAAAAUAAAAUCAUUAAGUAUAUUAAAUGAAAAUACAUACUUUUUAAUUUUUUGAAGAUAUAACUAGAGAUUCCAAGAAAAAUCAAGAGAUUUAAAGCAAAUGAGUUGAUAGCUAACUCUACAUUUACUGAGUCCAAUAUGUGAACCUUGAGAGGUAAUAAAGGUCAUGCCCUAUUAAAUGAAAGACUUGACACGGUUUUCUGUCUUUUCUAUGCCCAGCAAACAGCUCUGUUAGAUGAUUUGAUACAUCAUGAAAUGAAUUGAUUUUGUGACGUUCUCAGAAAAAUAACAAUGUAUAUGAUUGAACCCAUGGAAUCUUUAAAAUUUAAGGUCAAGUCUAUGUUCAUGUUCAGCAUCUUUUGUUAAUCUUUUGCAUUUAAUAAAAGCUAAAGCAUCAGUAUGAAGGCCAAAAGCUGAUAGCUUACCCUCCAUUUCUUGGGUCCAAUCAGAAAGUGAACAUUGAGAAGAAAUAAUGCAUCUUUAAAAUUUAUGGUCAAGUCUUUGUUAAUGUUCAGCACUAAACCAUAUUAGCAAUGUAAUAAUAAUUUUAUUUUAAUCAUAUAACAAUACAAUACGGAACAGUUGAUUGAUUUUACUUAGAAUAUAACACAACAAAUCAUAGUAUAGCAAUGCGUACCUUAACCACACAUAUAAUCAAGAAUCAUGUUUGGAGAAACCAUCUAGUAGGUGACCCAGUGGUAAUAGCUUGGGACCAAGAAGUUUGCUUUCCCUGUGGUCUCAGAUUCGAGUCCUGUGGUUGCUAAUAUGAUGGCCACUGGAGGUUUACAUGGUCGUUAACUUCAGGGCCCGUGAGAUUAGUCGAGGUGCGGGCAAGCUGGCCCGGACAUCCAUGUUAAUAAAAAAAAAAAAGAAUCAUGUUUGGGGAACCUUGAGCGGUGUAACUCAACUGGUCAGGCUCUAAGUUUGUUCCCCAAAGGUCACCAGUUCGAGUCCCACAAACCUCAGGGCCACUGGAGGCUUAUAUGGUCGUUAACUUUAAGGUCCGUGGGAUUAGUCGAAGUAUACACAAGUUAGCUCGAACACCCACAUUAAUCUAAAAAAAAAUCUCAUAUUUAAAUAGCUUCCCAAUAAUCACGAGUUUAUAUCUCUCUCAUGAUCACGUUACGUUAUUUUGAGAGCUUAAUUAUCUUCUAAAAAGUACUUUUAUCAAAGUAGAAAACGUACAAUCAACACGUUUUAUUUUCAACAAAAACAGUCAUUGAUUGAUAUUCAAGUACUCGCAAAAUAAAUUAGGUGGUGUGCUGCUUCAAUCAAAAGAUUUGAAUAAUUUUCAUAAUUUUUUAAUAAUUAAUAACGUGUAAGUUUAAGAUUAAAUUCACUAUUGUAUUUUAAUUUUUUUUAUUAUCAUGAAUUAAUUAUUUGAAUUUGAUUAGUUACUAAGUUGUGCAUAAAUAAUGUUUUUAAAAUGCUAAAAUCAUAUUUUGAUUAUUCCAACGAUUUAGAAAGGUUUAUUCACUUUAAUUGAUAUUAAAAUUUAUCUUCAUUUUUUUAUUAUUUUAAAGUAUUAUAAAUUUUAUCAAUUUUAAUUUACAUUGAGAAAAUAUAAUUUGUAAUUAAAACAAGAUUCUAAUAAUAUUUUAUUAAUUAAACAUGAUUUGUUUUUUAUAUAUUUUCAAUACUGAACCCUUAGGCUAUGUUGUAUAACAUCAUAAUUUAAAUAAUCUUUAAAAAUUAAAUAAGUGACAAAUUCAUAUAUAAUUUUUGAUAAUGAAAGAUCAAUAAAGUAAAAAACCAUAAUGAAUCUACAAAGUCAACGAAGAUAAAUUUUUAAAUAAUCAUCUCAAUCUAAAAAUUUAAAUUGUUAGAUGAGGUUUUAAAAUAAAAUUUACAUUAUUUUCGAACAUAUUACCUUAAAUAAAAGUCUUGUGUGUUUGAUACUUUUACAUAUUCAUAUUACUCUGUACUAUUAAUUAAAAAUAUAAAUAAGAUGGUAAUUGAAGACUGCUUCUGCUAAGAUGAAAGGAAAACAUAAAUAACGUGGUAAUUAUAAUUGAAAACAUGAAACAGUAUAUAUAGAAAUCACGUAAUAUCAACGAGGUCUCUAAUUUCCAGGGCCAUAAUUCUUAAGUACCAGUACAUGUUUUUCCUUCAAUAUUUACUAGGAAGAUUUAAAUCAAAAGGAGGAUCAAGGGAAACAAACCAAUGAAAAAAGAAAAAGAAUCAAUAGAUAUGGAAACAUGGCAAAACACAAGAUAUAUAUAUUGACCAUCCGGUACUCAUGUACAGCCACAACUUGAGAUAUUGUAGGCCUGAGAGAAGGUGAUUGAUCGGUGCACAAGAUAUGGUUUUUUUUUUUUCUUUCCUGUUAAGAUAGUUAUAUUUUAAUAUGAUAAUCUCCUUAUCAAAAAUAAUUUUUCUUAAACCUUAAAUAUAUAUUUUUUGAGCUUUAAAAUGAUUAUAUUUUAACUUGAUGAGAUAAUAAUCUCCUUAAUGAAAAGAACUUUUCUCGAACCUUAAAUAGAUUAACGAAUAGAAACACGACUUAGAACAAACAAUAAAGCAGAUUACCAUAAAUAAAGUGCACUCAGAGUUAUAUGUCUUCCAUUUACACAAUUAAUCCCUCUACCUAGACUCUCAUAGACCAUUAGGUUUUCUAGUAACUAUAAUACUGAGGACUCCCUUUUCUUUUCUUUUUUUGUUGAUAAAAGAUAAGAAUUCCUUAUACUUUCCACACUAAUUACCCAUUACAAAUUGUUCUUAUCAAAGAAUCACUAUAAACUUAAAAGUUUAAAGUUUUAAUAAUAAUUUUAUAUUAUUAGAUAAUACAUCUUUUCAAGUGAACAUUUAAUUUAAUUUUGUUUGGUAUUAAAUAUUUUGAUCGAAUUGAUUUUUAAACAAAUAAUUAUAAUAAUGUUAAUGAUUGCAACCAUGGAGUCUGAAGUAAUAAUGCAUCAUUAAAAUUUAUGAUCAAGUCUUUGUUCAUGUUCAGCAUCUUUUGUUUCCAUUAUGUCGAUCUUUUGCUUUCAUGAUGUCGAUCUUUUGCACUGUCGAGAAGAGAAAGAUUAAUAAGGCUAAAGCAUCAGUAUGAAGGCCAAAAGCUGAUAGCAUACCCUCCAUUUCUUGGGUCCAAUGAAGAGAACAGUGAGAACUAAUAACGCAUCUUUAAAAUUUAAGAUCAAGUCUUUGUUCAUGUUCAGCAUCUUUUUUUUUGGAUAAUUCAUGUUCAGCAUCUUUUGUUUCCAUUAUGUCGAUCUUUUGUAUUGUCGAGCAGAGAAAGAUUAAUAAAGCUAAAGCAUCAGUAUGAAGGCCACAAGCUGAUAGCUUACAUUUCUUGGGUCCAAUGAUGUGAACAUUGAGAAGUAAUAAUGCAUCUUUAAAAUUUAAGAUCAAGUCUUUGUUCAUGUAUCGCGUAAAAUUUAAGGUCAAGUUUUAAAAUUUUUAUUGAAAGGGUUUCUUUAGGAAGCUGAAGCUGAGUUUGUGGUUGCAAAUCUUGAAGAACAACCCCCCCCCCCCCCCCCCCAAUAAAUAAGCAAAUGACUUCAUUCCCAAUGCUUAUAAACUUUUAGCUAGUUAUAGUCGUAAAGAUGUUGAUAUAUUAACCAAGUAUUGUGAUAUGACUCAAAUUAAAGGUAUACAAGUUUCUAUAAAAACCAAAAAGGCUCGGAAAACAUAACACACAUCAAGGCUGCAGAGAAAGGCAAGCCUGCAGAAGAACCAACGUCUAUAGAAGACUAGAGAUCAGCCAUUCUGUUUUUAUUCUGUUUUCUCUGUAUAUAUGUAAUUGCAGUUACAAAAUUAGUUAUAACUGUUAAGUUAGUUGAGAAAGUUAGUUAUAAUAUGUGUAUAAAUAUGUAUUCAUGUACUCUGAGAAAGAUAAGAAAAAUAUAUAGAAAAAUGCUGCAUGCAGAUUCUUCAAACGUAUAGUUCCUUCCAAGAAUUCAUUCCCUUCUGUUUUCUAUUUUCUACCUUUUUCACAUUCCUUGCCCAGAUUUCUACAUCAUAGACCAUGGAUGACUUCCUUACAUCUCUAGAGCAAGGGGAUGGGGAUGAUGACGAAGACUCGGUUGAUGUGGACAUCUAUGGUGAUGGGGAAGAAGAUGUUGCAGAUUAUCGUACGUGUGCGGGGUCAUAGUGAAAUGCAUCCAUUACACAUUGCUAUUGUCAAGCAGAGAAAAAUUAAAGUUAGCCUACACCUCUAACAGCUUUAGUUUAGGAUCAUCUUGGUAUGCUUCUUUAUUAUAUGUAUGAAUAACUUAUUAUCCAUUACACAUUACUAUUAUCAAAGAAUUACUAUAAACUUAAAAGUUUAACGUUUUAAUAAUAAUUUUAUAUUAAUUACUAAUACAUCUUUUGAAGUAAACAUUUAAUUUAAUUUUGUUUUAUAUUAAAUUUGAUUGACAUUGACAAAAUUUAUGGUCAAGUCUCCGUGUUCAGAAUCAUUUUUUUGCCUCGUCAAGCAGAGAAAGAUUAAUAAAAGCUAAAGCAUCAGUACGAAGGCCACAAGCUACAUUUCUUGGGUCCAAACGGAAUGUGAACAUUGAGAAGUAAUAAAGGUAAUGCCUUAUUAAAUGAAAGACUUUACAUGGUUUUGUGUCUUUUCUAUGCCCAGCUAGCGGCUCUGCUAAAUGAUUUGAUACGUCAUGAAAUGAAUUGAUUUUGUGACGUUAUCAGAAAAAUAAUAAUGUAUAUGAUUGAACCCAUGGAAUCUUUAAAAUUUAAGGUCAAGUCUUUGUUCAUGUAAUUCAGCAUCUUUUGUUAAUCUUUUGCAUUUAAUAAAGCUAAAGCAUCAGUAUGAAGGCCAAAAGCUGAUAGCUUACCCUCCAUUUCUUGGGUCCAAUCAGAAAGUGAACAUUGAGAAGUAAAAAUGCACUUUAAAAUUUAUGGUCAAGUCUUUGUUCACGUAAUUCAGCUUCUUUUGUUAACAUUAUGUCGAUCUUUUGCAUUGUCAAGCAGAUAAAAAUUAAUAAAGCUAAAGCACCACCACAAGUUGAUAGAUUACUUUGUUUGAUUGGUAAUGUACUUAGGUGUUGUUUAAACUAUAUUUUAUUUUAAACAAAAAUUAAUAUAGCCUUCUGCGCUUGUAAUAGCUCAACCAUUUUGUAUUCAGAAUAUAUUAUUUAUGCUAUUCUCACAUGAAAUGUCUUGGCUGUGAAAUUUUUUAAAAUAGAACAAUAUACAGUUAGAGUAAAAUUGUGUACAUUAUAAUAUUUGAACAGCAUAUUUUCAUGAUUAUUAUACAAUCGUUAAGGAACACGGUUUUUAAGAUGGAAAGGAGAUCAUUUUAUUAAUUAGCAAUGCAAUAAUAGUUUUUUCAACAAUAUAAAAGUUCACAAAUUACAGUAGGUGCCAAAAGAUUAUAAAUCCAAAUUUCUCUGCAAGUUCCUGCUGCUCCUACUGUCCCGUAGUCCUCACUGGAUUGCUUUUGUUGUUUUGCAACUCAAUAAUCAAACAUAUCAUGUUAUGUUAAGAUAGAGGAGAUGAACCAUUUACAUUUACCCAAUUGCUGGUAAAGAGCAUUCUGUCAAGUAAUAAUUUGUGUUCAUGUUAAGCAUCUUUUGUUUCCAUUGUCGCGUAAUAAUAAUAACCACCGUCAGUCCAGGUAAAGAGCAUUCUGUCGAGUAAUAAUUAAAAAUUUACUUGAUUUUCUUUUAAAUUUCAAAAAAUUCAAAAAAAAAUUAAAAAACAUUUAUUUCAAAAAUACAAAAAUAUUUUUUUUCCCGUGCAUAUGGUUAGAUUUUAAAAUUUGCAUGCAUGCUUUUAUACGGAAAAAAAAAUUACAUCUUCAUCGUACUUUAAAAAAUCAUUUAAUGGAUAUCACAACAAGUUUACAAAUAUCCAUUAUGAUUUAACUAAAAUUUCAAAUAAAAACCUUUUUUAUUUUCUUUCAUAUUAGGAUAGAAUAAAAACCUUUUUUAUUUUCUUUCAUAUUAGGAUAGUUAGGCUUUAAAAUGGUUAUGUUUCAACUUGAUGAGAUAAAGAUCUUCUUAAUAAGAAGAACUUUUCUCUAAAUCUUGAAAAGAUUAACGAAUAAAAACACGAUUUAGAACAAAUAACAAAGCAACUUACUAUAAGUAAGGUGAAGUAGGAGAGAUGCAUCUUUCAUUUACACAAUCAAUCCCCUUACCUAGACUCUCAUAGACCAUUAGGUUUUAUAGUAACCAUAAUAUUAGGUUGUGACUAUUUUUUUAUUUUAUUUUAUUGAUAAAAGAUAAAAAUUCCUUGUACUUUCUGCACUAAUUACCCAUUACACAUUGCUAUUUUUAAAGAAUCACUAUAAACUUAAAAGUUUAAAGUUUUAAUAAUAAUUUUAUAUUAUUGGAUAAUGCAUCUUUUCAAGUGAACAUUUAAUUUAAUUUUGUUUUGUAUUAAAUUUUUUUAUUGGAUUGAUUUUUUAACAUUAACAAAAUAAUAAUAAUAAUGUAAAUGAUUGGAACCAUGGAAUCUGAAGUAAUAAUGCAUCUUUAAAAUUUAUGGUCAAGUCUUUGUUCGUGUUCAGCAUCUUUUGUUUCCAAUCUGUCGAUCUUUUGCUUUCAUUAUGUUGAUCUUUUCCAUUGUCGAGCAGAGAAAGAUUAAUAAAGCUAAAGCAUCAGUAUGAAGGCCAAAAGCUGAUAGCUUACCCUCCAUUUCUUGGGUCCAAUCAGAAAGUGAACAUUGAGAAGAAAUAAUGCAAGUCUUUGUCUAUGUUCAGCACAAAAACCAUUAAUUAGCAAUGUAAUAAUAAUUUUAUUUUAAUCAUAUAACAAUACAUUACGGAACAGUUGAUUGAUUUUACUUACAAUAUAACACAACAAAUCAUAGAGUAUAGUGUAGCAACGUGUACUUAGUUAACCACAUAUACAAUCAAGAAUCAUGUUUGGUUAACCAUCUAGGUGGUGGCCCAGUGGUAAGAGCUUGGGAUCAAGAGGUUCGCUCCCUCUGUGGUCUCAGGUUCGAGCCCUGUGGUUGCUCAUUGAUGACCACUGGAGGCUUACAUGGUCGUUAACUUCAGGGCCCGUGGGAUUAGUUGAAGUGCGCGCAAACUGGCCCGGACAUCCACAUUAAACUAAAAAAAAAAAAAGAAUCAUGCUUGGUUAAUUCUGAGGGGUGUAACUCAAUUAGUUAGAUUAUGAGUUUGCUCUCCAAAUAUUAUUAAUUCGAGUGCCACAAAUCUCAAGGCCAUUAAAAAUUUACCUGGUCGUUAAGUACUUUGAAGCUCCAAAAAAAUUAGUCAGGAUGCAUGUAUGUUGGCUCGAACACCCAUGAUUAUAUAUAAAAAAAACAUGUUUGAUCAUUUCUUGAUAGAUCACAUACAAUAAAGAAUCAUGUUAUAUCUAGAAAUUAAUUUCACAUCAAUUUUACGUUUCCUUUAAUUUGAAUAGACUAACAUUUUAUCUUAUAAAAAGUACUUUUAUCAAAGUAGCAAACGUACAAUCAACAAGUUUUAUUUUCAACAAUAUAAAAGUUCACAAAUUACAGUAGGGGCCACAAGAUUAUAAUCAUACGGUUUUUAUUUCAGAAAUUAUGAAUCCAAAUUUCUUUGUAAGUUCCUGCUACUCCUACUGUCCCAUAGUCCUCACUGGAUUGUUUUAUUGUUUUGCAACUUAAUAAUCAAACAUACCAUGUUAAGAUAGAGGAGAUGUACUGAUGCGAACCCUAGUGAAAUUUAAUGGAAUUCACGAUCCUAAGAUCAAUCUAAUCAAAGUUUAUUGAGAUUUGAAUGAGCUUAUCACAAUGUAAGACACAAUGGAAGACUUGCUCCAAGGCAACAAGACUAUAAACCAACUCGAUCACAACGCCUACACCUAGAGACAAGCAAAGAAAGUAUAAAUUCACAACGAAGAAUGGUCAAUUUUUUGAAGAGUUGAAAGUUCAAUCAAGAACCAAGAUUGAGCAACCAAAAGUCGGCUAUGAUGCUGAAAAUAUCAUAAAAAGUCUGUCCUAAAAUUAUUUCUAAAGAGUAUUUAAACUCCAAGCCAAAACCCUAGUUUUUCUAAUGAGUCUCACAUAAGCUCAAUUUAAAUAAUAAUCAACCCAAGCUAAAACUAGCCCAAACUAAUUAAAAUUAAAAAAAUAAACAAGUCUAAGACCCAAAUAAAAUGUCUUCUCUCAAAAUAAAUAAAGUUUGAUAGUCUAACUAAUUAAAUAAGACAAGUUCGUUGUUUCCGCAUUCUGUCUAGCAGCAGCAAAAGCUCAACUUAAAACGGAUGGUUCUCUCUCGUUUUAAUGAAUUAGAAAGAGUUUCAUAUACCGUUGGAAAGGUAUGGAAGUCUAGUUUCCAGCUCAACUAGAACCACAUCACAAUUUGAUCUGUAGCUCUAGUUAUGACCAAAAGAGUAACGAAAUGUGAAACUGUCCGAAUCUAGUCUUCUUCUCCCAAUCCUUGUGUAAUGCUCUUGGUUCCACUACGAAGCCCUUUUUGAACAUGAAUCAGAUUAAUCAAGGCUUGCUCUUUUUUAUUAAAAAUCCUCUUAAGUUCAUUGAAAGCUUCUUUGAACUUCUUAGCCCUAAGCCUAGUAAUUGGACCAACUGGAACCUCCAAUGGAUCGUUUGAUGGUUGGAUCGCAUCAUGGACCAUUUACAUUACCCAAUUGCUGGCUCUAUUUCAUAUAUUGGAAUCUACAGCAGUCUAUCAACAUGCACAAGGAAAACAUAACACACAUCAAGGCUGCAGAGAAAGGCAAGCCUGCAGAAGAACCGUCUAUAGAAGACUAGAGAUCAGCCAUUCUGUUUUUAUUCUGUUUUCUCUGUAUAUAUGUAAUUGCAGUUACAAAAUUAGUUAUAACUGUUAAGUUAGUUGAGAAAGUUAGUUAUAAUAUGUGUAUAAAUAUGUAUUCAUGUACUCUGAGAAAGAUAAGAAAAAUAUAUAGAAAAAUGCUGCAUGCAGAUUCUUCAAACGUAUAGAAUUCUUCUUCUUCCUUCCAAGAAUUCAUUCCCUUCUGUUUUCUAUUUUCUACCUUUUUCACAUUCCUUGCCCAGAUUUCUACAUGGUAUCAGAGCGAAAUUGCUGAAAAAUCAAUUUUUUUUCUUCAUCAUCAACAGAAAAAUUCAAAGAUUCUUGAGGUCUAAAACCUUUCUUCCAUCAUCUUCUUGUUUCUUUCAAAAACCUCAAAAUGACUGAUCAUCUUGAAGAAAAUGCUUCUACGGCACAUAAUGCUUCAUUCAAUACCACUACUCUGAAUCUUUCUGACGAUUCUUCCAGCUGCUACUACCUGCACCCUUCUGAUAACCCUGGUGCACUUCUUGUUUCUGAAAUUUUUACUGGUGAAAAUUAUAUUGCAUGGAGUAGAUCCAUGACAAUUGCCUUAACAGUAAAGAACAAGAUUGCCUUCAUUGAUGGUUCUUUGGUUCAACCAAUCACCACCAAUCAAUCUCUUCGUGUGGCAUGGCUAAGAUCAAAUAAUCUGGUUUUGUCAUGGCUGAUGAAUUCCAUUGCUAAAGAUAUUCGCAGCAGUGUUCUUUAUUUCACAACAGCCUUCGACAUUUGGGAAGAAUUACGAGUUAGAUACCUGAGAAGUGAUGGACCAAGAGUCUUCAGUUUGGAGAAAUCUUUAAGUUCCAUUUCUCAGAACUCAAAAUCUGUCACAGAAUAUUUCAGUGAAUUCAAAGCUCUAUGGGAUGAAUACAUCAGUUAUCGUCCAAUCCCAAACUGCAAAUGUGGAAAUCUUGAUUCAUGCUCAUGCAACAUUCUAAAGCACCUAACAGAUCGACAACAAUCAGAUUAUGUUAUGAAAUUUCUGGUAGGACUCCAUGAUUCUUACUCAGCAGUAAGAAGCCAGUUAUUACUCCAAACUCCUUUGCCAUCUAUGGGCAGAGUUUUUUCUUUACUUCUGCAAGAAGAGAGUCAGAGGUCCCUGACAAAUGCGGUAGGAAUUCCCAUUGACUCAUAAGCAAUGGUUGCUGAACAAUACCAUAAUCCAAACUCCAGAUCAGGUUCAACAUAUGCUACACGUUUUGCUAAACAAAAAGGCAAAACUGAGGCAACCUGCUCCCACUAUGGAUAUCCAGGACAUCUUGUUGAUAAAUGUUUCCAGAUUAUUGGAUAUCCUCCUGGAUGGAAGGGGCCAAGAGGGAAAAGAUUUGCUACCAUGCCGCAUGCCAACAGAAAUCUUCAAAAGCUACCCACUGCAUAUAAUACUGCUGUCUUGGAGCAACAUCUUGACACUCCCAACAUUGUUUUCUCUCAAGAGCAAAUACAGAAUCUACUCACUCAUGCAAAUAGCAUUUCUAACUCAAAGCUAAACAACAUUACUCAGGAAGUAUCUACAUCAGGUAUAUCUUUUUCAUGUCAUACCAUUUCUUCACCGCAGAACAAAUUUACUUGGAUCCUUGAUACAGGAGCAACAGACCACAUGAUCUGUAGCCCCCUUCUUUUUGAAUCCAUUAUUCUGCCUAAAACUCAGUCCAAAGUUCAUCUGCCAAAUGGUGAAACUGUACCUAUUGUUUUCACUGGGACGGUUAAAUUCUCUCCUGACAUCAUUUUACACAAAGCCCUUUAUGUUCCAUCUUUUAAUAUCAAUCUUAUUUCUGUUUCAAGAUUAACUGCUGAUAACACUGUUGGCUUGUUUUUUCUUCACACGAAAUGUAUCUUGCAGGAUUUAAGCACAUGGAGGAUGAUUGGGCUUGCUGAAGCUGAAUCUGGCCUAUACCAUCUUCACAAACCUCCUAAUCAAUCUACCAAAUGCUUACCUCCUAGAUCAUUGAUCAAGUCAUGUACUGUUACCACUAAUCUUUGGCAUUUACGUUUAGGCCACAUUCCUACUUCCAAAACCAUUCUUCUGAGCAAAAUCGAUCCUUCAAUAACCAUUACCAGCAAUUCUGUUUGUGAAAUUUGCCCCUUAGCUAAACAAAAACGGCUGCCCUUUUCCUUGUCUAUGAAUAAAUCCAUGCAGGCUUUUCACUUAAUUCAUAUUGACAUUUGGGGACCCUUCUCUGUUACUUCACAUUCUGGUUAUCAGUAUUUCCUUACCAUUGUAGACGAUUACAGUAGAUUCACUUGGUUAUUUUUAAUGAAAUCAAAAUCUGAAACUAGAAGUCUUCUUAGCAACUUCCUAGCCUAUGUCCAUACUCAAUUCCACACCAAGAUUAAGACUCUCAGAUCAGACAAUGGACAAGAUUUUAAUAUGCCUACCUUUUAUCAAGAACAUGGCAUCAUUCAUCAAUUAACUUGCAUUGAAACACCUGAACAGAAUGGAAGGGUUGAAAGGAAACAUCAACACCUACUAAAUGUAGCUAGAUCUCUGAUGUUUCAAUCCAAACUACCAUUGACUUACUGGACGGAUUGCAUUCUCACAGCCACUCACCUAAUCAAUCGCACUCCUUCAGUCACUCUCCAGAAUCAAACACCAUAUCAGGUUCUUUUUAACAAACCACCGACUUACAAUCACCUCAGGGUGUUCGGUUGUUUAUGUUUUGCUAGCACACUCACACACAACAGAGGCAAAUUUCAACCACGAGCAAAGAAAUGCAUAUUUCUUGGGUAUCCUCCCCACACUAAAGGUUACAAAGUGCUAGACUUGUCAACAUGCAAAACCUUUGUGUCUCGCAAUGUUGUUUUUUAUGAAUCCACAUUCCCAUCCAUUCCAAACACAGUCCAUACACCCCUUGUGUUCCCUGAUUAUCCUCAAAAUUUUGAUUCUUUAGCUUGUAUACCACCCCAGUCCACUACUAACAAUUCUGUUACUCCUGCAACCUUGCCUUUACAAACUUCUGUUCCUCCCUUAACUCACAACAAUGUUUCACAACCCAGAAGGUCUGAAAGGACUAAACAUCCACCCAAUUACUUAAAGCAAUAUUACUGUGGAAAUAUGGCUCAGAUUCCUUCAGCAGCUCCAAGCUCUUCUGAUUGCUCCCUUUCUGGUAAGCCAUACUCGAUCUUCUCUUUCUUAUCUCAUUCCAAAUUAUCUUUACAACAAUGUGCUUUCACUUCUUUUGUUUCCUCUGUUUUUGAACCAAAAACUUACAAACAAGCUAGCUCUAUUCCUCAUUGGCAACAUGCUAUGACUAAUGAAAUUAUCGCUCUUGAGCAAAACCAAACUUGGGAUUUAGUCCUUCUGCCUCAGAAUAAAUCUGCCAUUGGAUGUAAGUGGGUAUACAAAGUGAAGUUCCAAGCUGAUGGACAGGUUGAACGUUACAAGGCCAGAUUGGUAGCUAAGGGAUACACACAACAAGAGGGAAUCGAUUUCUUUGACACUUAUUCUCCUGUUGCUAAAAUAACAACAAUCAGAGUUCUUCUCACUAUAGCUGCUGUCAACAAUUGGCAUUUACAUCAACUUGAUGUGGACAAUGCUUUCUUGCAUGGCGACUUACAUGAGGAAGUAUAUAUGCAAUUGCCACCUGGUUACUCCAAUCCUAAUGAUCCUCGAGUCUGCAAGCUCAAAAAGAGCAUCUAUGGCUUGAAACAAGCUUCCAGACAAUGGUUCUCCAAGCUAUCUACCUCUCUAUUACAGUUUGGAUUUUUACAAGCAAAAUCAGAUUCCAGCCUCUUCAUCAGAAAAACCCCCAACGACUUCAUCGCAGUGUUAAUCUAUGUUGAUGAUGUAAUCAUUGCUUCCAACACUCUUACAGCAAUCAACAAAGUUAAACAGUACCUUCGCACGACCUUUCCUAUCAAAGAUUUGGGAAAGCUGAAGUAUUUUCUAGGCAUUGAGGUUGCUAGAUCUUCCAAAGGCAUUGUUCUUUGUCAGAGAAAGUAUGCCUUAGAUAUACUAGCAGACAGUGGAUUUUCUGGAGCUAAACCUGUCAGUUUUCCUAUGGAAUCCACACUGAAACUUAGUGCCCAUGAUACUAGCCCUCCCUUGUCCGAUCCUGCAUCUUAUCGUAGAUUAAUUGGCAGACUCCUCUAUCUCACACUCACACGCCCAGACUUAUCCUAUGCCAUCCAAACACUUAGCCAGUUCAUGUCCAAUCCUCACACAAUGCAUCUGCAAGCUGCAGAGAGAGUCCUUCGGUAUCUUAAAGCAACACCAGGUCAAGGAUUACUUCUCAAAGUUGAUUCUACCUUCCAUUUAAAAGCUUAUUCUGACAGUGAUUGGGGAGGUUGCAUUGAUACUAGAAGAAGUGUCACUGGAUAUUUAGUUUUUCUUGGCGAUUCACUCAUUUCCUGGAAGUCCAAGAAACAACCUACUGUCAGUAGGUCCUCAGCAGAAGCUGAAUAUCGAGCUUUGGCAACUACAUCGUGUGAACUUCAAUGGCUGAUUUAUUUGUUGGCCGAUUUCCACAUACCACACUCUCAGCCUGCCUUACUAUACACUGACAGCAAACCUGCUUCAGAAAUUGCCUCAAAUCCGAUCCAUCAUGAACGCACUAAACAUAUACAACUUGACUGUCAUCUUGUCCGCAAAAAAUUGUAGGAGGGAUUGCUUAACAUCAUUCACAUCCCUUCCAGAUUUCAAUUAAAUGACGCCCUCACCAAACCACUUGGUUAUCUCACGCUUCACCCUAUCCUUAGCAAGAUGGGAAUGGUAAAUAUUCAUUCUCAUCUUGAGGGGGGAUAUUGGAAUCUACAGCAGUCUAUCAACAUGCACAAGGAAAACAUAACACACAUCAAGGCUGCAGAGAAAGGCAAGCCUGCAGAAGAACCAACGUCUAUAGAAGACUAGAGAUCAGUCAUUCUGUUUUUAUUCUGUUUUCUCUGUAUAUAUGUAAUUGCAGUUACAAAAUUAGUUAUAACUGUUAAGUUAGUUGAGAAAGUUAGUUAUAAUAUGUGUAUAAAUAUGUAUUCAUGUACUCUGAGAAAGAUAAGAAAAAUAUAUAGAAAAAUGCUGCAUGCAGAUUCUUCAAACGUAUAGUUCCUUCCAAGAAUUCAUUCCCUUCUGUUUUCUAUUUUCUACCUUUUUCACAUUCCUUGCCCAGAUUUCUACAUCAUAGACCAUGGAUGACUUCCUUACAUCUCUAGAGCAAGGGGAUGGGGAUGAUGACGAAGACUCGGUUGAUGUGGACAUCUAUGGUGAUGGGGAAGAAGAUGUUGCAGAUUAUCGUACGUGUGCGGGGUCAUAGUGAAAUGCAUCCAUUACACAUUGCUAUUGUCAAGCAGAGAAAAAUUAAAGUUAGCCUACACCUCUAACAGCUUUAGUUUAGGAUCAUCUUGGUAUGCUUCUUUAUUAUAUGUAUGAAUAACUUAUUAUCCAUUACACAUUACUAUUAUCAAAGAAUUACUAUAAACUUAAAAGUUUAACGUUUUAAUAAUAAUUUUAUAUUAAUUACUAAUACAUCUUUUGAAGUAAACAUUUAAUUUAAUUUUGUUUUAUAUUAAAUUUGAUUGACAUUGACAAAAUUUAUGGUCAAGUCUCCGUGUUCAGAAUCAUUUUUUUGCCUCGUCAAGCAGAGAAAGAUUAAUAAAAGCUAAAGCAUCAGUACGAAGGCCACAAGCUACAUUUCUUGGGUCCAAACGGAAUGUGAACAUUGAGAAGUAAUAAAGGUAAUGCCUUAUUAAAUGAAAGACUUUACAUGGUUUUGUGUCUUUUCUAUGCCCAGCUAGCGGCUCUGCUAAAUGAUUUGAUACGUCAUGAAAUGAAUUGAUUUUGUGACGUUAUCAGAAAAAUAAUAAUGUAUAUGAUUGAACCCAUGGAAUCUUUAAAAUUUAAGGUCAAGUCUUUGUUCAUGUAAUUCAGCAUCUUUUGUUAAUCUUUUGCAUUUAAUAAAGCUAAAGCAUCAGUAUGAAGGCCAAAAGCUGAUAGCUUACCCUCCAUUUCUUGGGUCCAAUCAGAAAGUGAACAUUGAGAAGUAAAAAUGCACUUUAAAAUUUAUGGUCAAGUCUUUGUUCACGUAAUUCAGCUUCUUUUGUUAACAUUAUGUCGAUCUUUUGCAUUGUCAAGCAGAUAAAAAUUAAUAAAGCUAAAGCACCACCACAAGUUGAUAGAUUACUUUGUUUGAUUGGUAAUGUACUUAGGUGUUGUUUAAACUAUAUUUUAUUUUAAACAAAAAUUAAUAUAGCCUUCUGCGCUUGUAAUAGCUCAACCAUUUUGUAUUCAGAAUAUAUUAUUUAUGCUAUUCUCACAUGAAAUGUCUUGGCUGUGAAAUUUUUUAAAAUAGAACAAUAUACAGUUAGAGUAAAAUUGUGUACAUUAUAAUAUUUGAACAGCAUAUUUUCAUGAUUAUUAUACAAUCGUUAAGGAACACGGUUUUUAAGAUGGAAAGGAGAUCAUUUUAUUAAUUAGCAAUGCAAUAAUAGUUUUUUCAACAAUAUAAAAGUUCACAAAUUACAGUAGGUGCCAAAAGAUUAUAAAUCCAAAUUUCUCUGCAAGUUCCUGCUGCUCCUACUGUCCCGUAGUCCUCACUGGAUUGCUUUUGUUGUUUUGCAACUCAAUAAUCAAACAUAUCAUGUUAUGUUAAGAUAGAGGAGAUGAACCAUUUACAUUUACCCAAUUGCUGGUAAAGAGCAUUCUGUCAAGUAAUAAUUUGUGUUCAUGUUAAGCAUCUUUUGUUUCCAUUGUCGCGUAAUAAUAAUAACCACCGUCAGUCCAGGUAAAGAGCAUUCUGUCGAGUAAUAAUUAAAAAUUUACUUGAUUUUCUUUUAAAUUUCAAAAAAUUCAAAAAAAAAUUAAAAAACAUUUAUUUCAAAAAUACAAAAAUAUUUUUUUUCCCGUGCAUAUGGUUAGAUUUUAAAAUUUGUGUCGCACGUCAAAAAAAAUCAGCGCGGCGUCGGCUGGCAAUUUUUCAUUUGUUGUUUUGCUUUGAUUGGUUCGUUGGAGUCGCCACCUAGUAUUUAAUUGAAGGCUACUAGAAAACCCGGAUACUGGUCUUAUCAGAGAUUCACAGGUAAGGGACUGGUUGUGGUUAGGGAAGGUGUUAGCACCCCUAACGCACCCUACCUGAGGUAAGCUGCUUCGUGGACUUGAUGUGAUUUAAAAAAUAAAAUUUUAGCCCAAUUCUAAGGCUUUGAUAAAUCAGUUAUUAGUUCCCAAAAUAUAUGUAGAUACAUGUUCUACAUUUUUAUGGAAAAUACAACAUGAUUUUUAUCUGUCCUUUAGAUAUUUGAGCAUAUAAAUUAAAAUAUUAAAUUCAUUUUUUAUCUCAAUAACAUACAUAAAAAAAAACACAUAUACACCUUCACUAUAUUUUUUCUUUUCUUUUCUUUUUCUUUCUUUUUUUGUUACAUCAACAUUACAAAUUAUAAAAAUUCAAUACUAAAAAUUAAAAUUACAUCAAACAAUUUAAAAUUACAAAACAACCCCUAAAACAGAAUCAGGAACAGUGUAGCCACGGGUGAACAGUGUCGGAGGCUUCUGGGCGCCGGAAUAGUGGCGGCGCGUGGGCCUCACGCGCCACCGCCGGUGAAGACCAGCAAGCUGGUAGAUCUGGAUCGUCUCCUUCUUCUCUUCCUGUUCGUACCGGCGGUGCAUCUCCCAGUCACCUGCAAAGCAUCCCAACAACACAAGCAGUAUUUCACUUUCGUUUUCCUUUUUCUUUUAGAUCUGCCAUCAUCUCCCUUCGUUAAUGCUUUCUUAUUCUGGGUUCAACGUCGCCAUUGCUUGUUGCCGUUUGGAUGGUUGCAGAUCGGAGAAGUUGUCGUGGCUGGUGGCGCGUCGGCGCACGCGAUGAGGAGACUCGGGGAGAUCAACUCAAGGGACUGACCGCUGCUACUGGCUGAGGGAGCGGUUCAGUGGUUCAUCUGCAGGCCGUCCCUGGCCACUGCCGUGCGUGGGGGAGGAGCUGCUACGGGGCCGGGAGAAGACUAGGAAGAAGACAGCGGGAGCUGACGCCGUGUUCGGUCUGAGGAAGAAAGGAACGGCGGCCGGUCUCUGUUGGGUGGAGCUGGAGACCGUGAGAAGGAAAUGGAAGGCUUCUGUGCAGAGGGCAGGUCUUGGCUGCCGCUGUUGGAGGUUGAUGUGGGUGUGGCCUUGGCUGGUUUUUUUUGAGAGGGAGCUGCUGCGGGGCUGCCUUGGGUGAGGUAGAUGAGAGUUUGGUGCUGAGUGCAGCCGAGAAAGGGAAGUGGAUGGCUGCUUCAACAGGGAACAAGGGACCCCUGUGUGGCUUCCGGUUUUGGGAGCCAAAAAUCCCAAUGACAGGGUGGCGGCCAGAAAUGAAGAGAUGCCAUGUGCGGGGUCUGCUGGCCGGGGCUGAGAGGGAUUCUGGUGAGGGGAUGUGGAUGUGGGUGCUGUCAGCUGAAAAUGAUAGGAAAUCGGGGAAGAUCGGCGUUGUGGGUGCAGGGGAGAAGGAAGAGGGACUGGGGAGCCGUGGGCCCCUGCCCACGGCUGUGUGGAAGAAGAAAAAAUGGAAAAAUCCCCCUCUCCCCUUUGUAGCUGGGGAUGAGCAGAAAUAGGGGUUCUCCUCGUGAGGAGGGGCCUUCAUUGUCGGCUGGAAACAAGGAAAAGAAGACCCUGGGUGGGGGCUGAGUCCCUGAUUUUCAGCCGAAAGAGAGGGAUCAAAUGGUCUUGGGCCAGGGGGAGUGGCUAGUUUCGGGUGAAGAAAAAAGUUUUUUUUAGGUUUUCUUUUUUUUGUGUUGCCUCCCCCUCCAAUAUUCAAAAUUCCCUAUGCAUAGGCAAAAUAUUGUUUGAGCCUCAAAAUUGAUUUCUCACUUUUCUUUUCUUUUUAAAUUUGAUUUUCUUUAAUUUUUUUGUAUUUUUGAAAAUAAGCAAUAUCAACGUCGACUCAAUGAGGAAAAUCAAUGAUUUUAAAAUUAACGCGUUCAAAGUUGAACGCGUUCGAAAGACCUUUGAAAAUUUAAAUUCUUUUUAGACGACGCUGCAAAUGCUAAAAACGAUGCAAAUGUAUUUUUUGGGUUUUCAAUGCUUUUCACUAUUUUUGGAUUUUUUCUGAAAAUUUAUUAAAACAUGGGUCAAAAUUGGGUAGCAACAAUUUGCAUGCAUGCUUUUAUACGAAAAAAAAAAAUUACAUCUUCAUCGUACUUUAAAAAAUCAUUUAAUGGAUAUCACAACAAGUUUACGAAUAUCCAUUAUGAUUUAACUAAAAUUUCAAAUAAAAACCUUUUUUAUUUUCUUUCAUAUUAGGAUAGUUAGGCUUUAAAAUGGUUAUGUUUCAACUUGAUGAGAUAAGAAUCUUUUUAAUGAGAAAAACGUUUCUCUAAACUUUGGAAAGAUUAACGAAUAAAAACACGACUUAAAACAAAUAACAAAGCAGCUUACUAUAAGUAAGGUGAAUUAGGAGAGAUGCAUCUUUCAUUUACACAAUCAAUCCCCUUACCCAGACUCUCAUUGACUAUUAGGUUUUCUAGUGACCAUAAUAUUAGGUUAUGACUCCUUUUUCUUUUCUUUUUUAUUGAUAAAAGAUAAGAAUUUCUUGUAUUUUCCGCACUAAUUACCCAUUACACAUUGCUAUUUUCAAAGAAUCACUAUAAACUUAAAAGUUUAAAGUUUUAAUAAUAAUUUUAUAUUAUUGGAUAAUGCAUCUUUUCAAGUGAACAUUUAAUUUAAUUUUGUUUUGUAUUAAAUUUUUUUAUUGAAUUGAUUUUUUAAUAUUAACAAAAUAAUAAUAAUAAUAAUAAUGUAAAUGAUUGGAACCAUGGAAUCUGAAGUAAUAAUGCAUCUUUAAAAUUUAUGGUCAUGUCUUUGUUCGUGUUCAGCAUCUUUUGCUUCCAUUCUGUCGAUCUUUUGUUUCCAUUAUGUCGAUCUUUUCCAUUGUCGAGCAGAGAAAGAUUAAUAAAGCUAAAGCACCAGUAUGAAGGCCAAAAGCUGAUAGCUUACCCUCCAUUUCUUGGGUCCAAUCAGAAAGUGAACAUUGAGAAGAAAUAAUGCAUCUUUAAAAUUUAUGGUCAAGUCUUUGUCCAUGUUCAGCACAAAAACCAUUAAUUAGCAAUGUAACAAUAAUUUUAUUUUAAUCAUAUAACAAUACAUUACGGAACAGUUGAUUGAUUGUACUUACAAUAUAACACAACAAAUCAUAGAGUACAACAAAUCAUAGAGUAUGGUGUAGCAACGUGUACUUACUUAACCACGUAUACAAUCACGAAUCAUGUUUGAUCAAUUCUAGAAAGUGUAACUCAGCUGGUUAGAUUAUAAGUUUGUUUUUUAAAUAUCAUUAGUUCGAGUGCCAUAAACCUCAGAGCCAUUAGAAACUUAUCUAAUUAUUAAGUAUUUUAAAGCUCUAAAAAAUUAGUCAGGAUGCGUGUAUAUUGGCUCGAACACCCAUAGUUAUAUAAAAAAAAAACAUGUUUGGUCAUUUCUUGAUAGAUCACAUGCAAUAAAGAAUCAUGUUAUAUCUAGAAAUUAAUUUCACAUCAAUUUUACUUUUCCUUUAAUUUGAAUAGACUAACAUUUUAUCUUCUAAAAAGUACUUUAUCAAAGUAGCAAACGUACAAUCAACAAGUUUUAUUUUCAACAAUAUAGAAGUUCACAAAUUACAGUAGGGGCCACAAGAUUAUAAUCAUACGGUUUUUAUUUCAGAAAUUAUGAAUCCAAAUUUCUUUGUAAGUUCCUGCUACUCCUACUGUCCCAUAGUCCUCACUUACUCCUACUGUCCCAUAGUCCUCACUGGAUUGUUUUAUUGCUUUGCAACUUAAUAAUCAAACAUACCAUGUUAAGAUAGAGGAGAUGGACUGAUGCGAACCCUAGUGAAAUUUAGUAGAAUUCACGACUCCAAGAUUAAUCUAAUCCAAAUUUGUUGAGAUUUGAAUGAGCUUAUCAUAAUGGAAGACACAAUGGAAGACUUGCUCCAAGGCAACAAGACUAUAAACCAACUCGAUCACAACGCCUACAUCUAGAGACGAGAAAAGAAAGUAUAAAUUCACAACGAAUAAUGGUCAAUUCUUUGAAGAGUUGAAAGUUCAAUCAAGAACCAAGAUUGAGCAACCAAAAGUCGGCUAUGAUGCUGAAAAUAUCAUAAAAAGUCUGUCCUAAAAUUAUUCAUAAAGAGUAUUUAAACUCCAAACCAAAAUCCUAGUGUCUCACAUAAGCUCAAUUUAAAUAAUAAUCAACCCAAACUAAAACUAGCUCAAACUAAUUAAAAAAUAAAAAAUAAACAAGUCUAAUACCCAAAUAAAAUGUCUUCUCUCAAAAUAAAUAAAGUUUGAUAGCCCAACUAAUUAAAUAAGACAAGUUCGUUGUUUCCGCAUUUUGUCUAGCAGCAGCAAAAGCUCAACUUAAAACGGAUGGUUCUCUCUCGUUUUAAUGAAUUAGAAGGAGUUUCAUAUACCGUUGGAAAGGUAUGGAAGUCUAGCUUCCAGCUCAACUAGAAUCACAUCAAAAUUCGAUUUGUAGCUCCAGUUAUGACUAAAAGAGUAACGAAAGGUGAAACUGUCCCAAUCUAGUCUUCUUCUCCUAAUCCUUGUGUAAUGCUCUUGGUUCCAUCAACAAGCCCCUCUUGAACAUGAAUCAAAUUAAUUAAGGCUUGCUCUUUAUUAUUAAAAAUCAUCUUGAAGUCCAUUGAAAGCUUCUUUGAACUUCUUAGCCCUAAACCUAGUAACUGGACCAACUGGAACCUCCAAUGGAUCGUUAGAUGGUUGGAUCGCAUCAUGGACCAUUUACAUUAUCCAAUUGCUGGCUCUAUUUCAUAGACCAUGGAUGAUUUCCUUACAUCUCUAGAGCGAGGGGAUGGGGAUGAUGAGGAAGACUCGGUUGAUAUGGCCGAUGAUGUGGACAUCUAUGGUGAUGGGGAAGAAGACGUUGCAGAUUAUUGUACGUGUGCGGUGUGGUGUCAUAGUGAAAUGCAUCCAUUACACAUUGCUAUUGUCAAGCAGAGAAAAAUUAAAGUUAACCUACACCUCUAACAGCUUUAGUUUAGGAUCAUCUUGGUAUGCUUCUUUAUUAUAUGUAUGAAUAACUUAUUAUCCAUUACACAUUACUAUUAUCAAAGAAUUACUAUAUAUAAACUUAAAAGUUUAACGUUUUAAUAAUAAUUUUAUAUUAUUUACUAAUACAUCUUUUGAAGUAAACAUUUAAUUUAAUUUUGUUUUAUAUUAAAUUUGAUUGACAUUGACAAAAUUUAUGGUCAAGUCUCCGUGUUCAGAAUCAUUUUUUUGCCUCGUCAAGCAGAGAAAGAUUAAUAAAAGCUAAAGCAUCAGUACGAAGGCCACAAGCUACAUUUCUUGGGUCCAAACGGAAUGUGAACAUUGAGAAGUAAUAAAGGUAAUGCCUUAUUAAAUGAAAGACUUUACAUGGUUUUCUGUCUUUUCUAUGCCCAGCAAGCGGCUCUGCUAAAUGAUUUGAUACGUCAUGAAAUGAAUUGAUUUUGUGACGUUAUAAGAAAAAUAAUAAUGUAUAUGAUUGAACCCAUGGAAUCUUUAAAAUUUAUGGUCAAGUCUUUGUUCAUGCAAUUCAGCAUCUUUUAUUAAUCUUUUGCAUUUAAUAAAGUUAAAGCAUCAGUAUGAAGGCCAAACGCUGAUAGCUUACCCUCCAUUUCUUGGGUCCAAUCACAAAGCUAUUAAACUUGAUGUGCAUCACAUUUUAUGUGAGAUAUUGAAAAGAAAUAAGAGAAAGUUCACCUACUAAACUUGAUGUGCAUCAUACACACACACACACUUUAUAAUCUUAAAAUCUUCAAAUUUAACUAAUUUUUUUUUUAUGAAAAUGUUGUUAUAUAAAAGAAUAUAGUUAAUUUUAUGGUUUGUAUAGAAUAAUAGUUGUUGUAAGAAUAUGUUUUUAAUGUAAUUUCAAGCUAUGUUUUUAAUGAAAAACAAAGAUUAGUAAAAUUUAAAAUUAAUAAAAUACAAAUAGUUUAAAAUAUAGAAAUAACUUAUUUUGGAUUCUCUCUAUAUUAUUCCUUGACAUGAUUUUUAAGAGGUGAGAAUUACAGAAAGAAAAUAAUUAUUGUACUAAAAGUUUCUCAAUAUUGUUAGAACCUUAAAGAACCCAUACGUAUUAUAUUAGGAUAAGUGAAAUAUCAAAAUCUUUAUUUUAUUUUCCAUGCCCUUGCACAUGAUUACAAUUAUUUUCUUUUUAAAAAGUGAUUUUUGUUUUGAAUUCUAAUAAAUAAUUUUUUGAUACGUUCUCAUAUAUAAUUAAGUACAAGCUAUGGUUACAGAAUGUUUUGUCACGAAGAUAUGUUCUUUUUAAUACUAUGAAUAUUAAAUUGUUAAGAUUUGAGUAUAUUAAAGAAUUAUAUCCCAAUAAUAAUGAUUUUGGUACCAUAUAUGUUGAGUAUAGAGUUUCGGCCAAGGAUAAUAUUUUUAGGCAUGAUGGAUUUUUUGUUUAAGGAGAAUAGAUUAUGUGUGCCGAAUUGUUCUAUGCAUGAAUUACUUAUAAGGGGAGCUCAUGAAGGAGGUUUAAUGGGGCAUUUUGAAAUUGUUAAGACUUUAGAAGUUUUACAUGAAUAUUUUUAUUAGCCUAACAUGAAAAGAGAUGUGCAAAAAAUUUGUGAUAGAUUCAUAACUUGUAGACAAGCUAAGUAUAUAGUAAAGCCUUAUAUGUUAUAUACACCUUUACUUGUUCAUAAGAAACCUUGGGUUGAUAUUUAUAUGGAUUUUAUUUUGGGUUUACCUAGGUCUAGAAAAAAAAAGAGACUCCAUAUUUGUUACUAUAUAGAUAUAUUUUCUAAGAUGAUACAUUUCAUUGUUUGCUAUAAAACUAAUGAUGCAAUAAAUAUCAAGACCUUUUCUUUUGAGACGUCAUUCGGCUACAUGGUGUUUCUAGGAGCAUUGUGUUUGAUUGAGAUGUUAAGUUUUUUAGUUACUUUUGGAAGGUUUUGUCGGGUAAGUUAGGGACUAAACUUUUAUUUUCUACUACUUGUCACCCAUAAAUAGAUGGUCAAACUGAAGUUGUGAACAAGACUUUAACUCAAUUAUUAAGAGCUAUCAUUCAAAAGAAUCUUAAAAUUUAAGAGGAUUGUUUGCCUUUUAUUGAAUUUGCAUUUAAUCAUAGUGUGGAUUCUACAACUGAUUAUUCACCAUUUGAGAUUAUUUAUCAUUUUAAUCCUAUAACACAAUUGAAUUUGAUUCCUUUACCUAUUGAUGAAAGGGUUAGUCUUAAUGGUAAUAAAAAAGCAUAGGUAGUGAAGGACUUACAUGCAAAAAUUCAACAAUAGAUAGAGAAAAAAGAAUGAACAAUAUGCAUUCAAGGCUAAUAGAAGAUGAAAAUUAGUGAGGUUUGAACUAGGUGAUUAGGUUUGGGUGCAUAUGAGGAAGGGAAGGUUUCUCGAAUAAAGGACAUCUAAAUUAAUACCUCGAGGAGAUAGUCCUUUUCAGAUUAUAAAAUCGAUCUACCAAGUAGGUAUGGUGUUAAUGUUACAAUCAAUAUUGUUGAUCUCUCUUUCUUUGAUGUAGGUAAUGAUUCAAGAUCAAAUCCUUUUGAAGAGAGAGGAAAUGAUGUGAUCCAUGAACCACCAAAUGAUCCAUUGGAGGUUCCAAUUGAUCUAGUGACAAGGCUUAGGGUUAAAAGAUUCAAAGAGGCUUUCAAUUGACUUCUUUGAGAUACAUGAGUUAAGGUGGACUUCAAGAAGGUAAUAAAUAAUGAAGAGCAAGCCUUGAUUAAUCUGAUUCAUGUUCAAGAAGGACUUGUUUGUGGAACCAAGGCCAUAACUCAAGGAUUGGGAUACAAAGAAUCAAAUCAGACAAUUUGACAUUUCUUUACUAUUUUGAUCAUAACUGGAGCUCCAAGUCAUAUUUUGAUGCGAUUCUAGUUGGGCUGGAAACUAGAAUUCCAUACAUUUCCGAUGAUAAAAGGAACACAUUCUAAUUCAUCAAGACCAGAGAGAACUAUUCAUUUGAAGUUGGGUUUUGAAGCUACCAGCAGAUUAGGAGAAAAACCGACAUGGUCUUAUUUUAAUUAGUUGGGCUGUUGAUCUAUCUUUGUUUUGUGUGGCAACAUUUAUUUAAGUUUCAGAUUUGUUUAUUUUAAUUAAUUUGGGCUAGUUUUUAACUUUGUUUGGGUAUCAUUUAAAUUGGAUUUAUGUGUGACUCAUUAAGGAAACUAGGGUUACUUAGCUUUCUAGAAUAAGUACUCUUUCUUUGUGAACAAUAUUUAAAAAAAAAAAAGAUUUUUGCAAAAUAAAAAUAUUGUCUCUCUUGGUUCUUGAUUGAACUUCAACUCUUUAAAGAAUUGACAAAUCUUUACUAGUGAUUUUAUACUUCUGUUGCUCGUCUCCAUGUGUAGGCAUUAUGAUUAGGUGGUUUAUAGUCUUGUUACCUUAAAGCAAGUCUUUCAUUGUGAAAAGCUUAAUUUCAUACUCAAACUUGGGUUAGAUAGAUCUUGGGUUCGUGAAUUCUAUUAAGUUCAGCUAGGGUUCGCAUCAAUAUUAGGUGACGACUCCUAUUCUUUGGUUUCAUUGAUAAAGAAAAAUAAUUCCUUAUUCUUUUCACCCACACCCUUUCACGCUUAAUCUCAUUUUGAAAGAACGAUCGUCGCGACGCCGCACACGUGUAACAUAACAUAUGACUGAAUAGAUUUUUUUCUCUUAAUAUAAUAAAAAACAACAAUCAUAAGUGGUUACUUUUUAUUUUUAUUAGAAAAUAUAGAGUAAGCUAUUGAGUUGUGGCCUUCAUACUGAUGUUUUAGCUUUACUAAACUUUCCCUACUUGAUGCUGCAAAAGAUCGACAUCAUUGAAACAAAAGAUGCUGAAAAUGAACAAAGACUUGACCAUAAGUUUUAAAGAUGCAUUAUUACUUCUCAAUAUUUACAUUUCGCAGGUCCAGUCAUUUGGACCCAAGAAAUAUAGAGUUAGCUAUCAACUUGUGGCCUUCGUACUGAUUCUUUACCAAGGCAUUACCUUUAUUGAAAAAAGAAUAUAGGAGUAAAAAACAAUUCAAUUUUAGCCAUUAUUAAUGGUCAGGGUUGGUAUUAAUGGACUCUCAUGAUCAUGGGUUGAUAUGCAUUUGGAACACUACAAAUCAUCCUUCAUCCUUGUGAAGUCUCCGGACAUUCCUUUGCAAAAUGUUUAGCUUUCUACUACAUCGGUUUUUGCAUCAUUUAGUUGGUUUUUUUUUUAUUCAAUGAAGGAGUUUUAGUUGCGUUUGUUAGUUUAAUAUGCCCUAUAACUAAUUAGUUGAUUACACGUGACGUUAUUAUAUUCAUAUAAAUAUAUAUUUAUUAUUAAUAAAGGCUUAACUUAUCUUAAAUAUUUAUAUAAUAUUAAAUUAAUGAAUCUAGAGUAAAGAUAAAGUUCAUCAGACAAAAAUGUUUUGCAAAGAAAAUUAUAAAGUUGUUAUAUUUAUGAGAUUUUUAUUGCAUAAAAAAGAAUGGGAUUAUAAAUGCUCUAUUUUCUCCUUUAUAAGGCUGACAACAUGGAGACAAUUAGGAGGAGAGAAAUUUCUGAUUUUUCCACCAAAAUUUGAGAUAAGAACACCACAAUUUGUCAAGUCUAUACAAGUUCUAGAUUACUAGGUAGGGAAAACAUCAUUUAGAAAGGGAAUUAGUAAGAAACAAGUGGAGAAAUUGUGAGGGGAAGAGAGGGAGAGGGUCAGUUGGUAUGCAAAGAGGGAGGAGCUGAAAUUUUUCAACCGAUUAAGAAUCAAAAUCCAAAUUAUCAUCAGGUAAGGAAUCUUAAACCUAAUUAUAAAAACCAAUUUUAAUUCGAUGAGGAAUUGUGCACUAAUCUUGAAUUGAAAUUAGAGUUCUUGAGUAAAACUGGGGGAAAUGUAGAAUUGGGUGAAAUUGGGUUAAUUAAAGUACUGUAAAUUACUUUGAACAUGAAAUCAUAUGGAAAUAUCAAAGAAAAAUCAAUGGUUAAAGGAACAAGAGUGGCCAACCAUUAGGGGAAUGAAUGGGAGGAGAAGAAUUUAUAAUUUUCUUGAUAAAGUCCUUAUAAUGUGUUGUUAUAAUCUAAACAAUGACUAAAUAAGAUAAAUGAUUGCAUGAGAAGAAGAAGGGGACCCUUGGUUUCUUUAGGCCAUGUUUCGGCCAAGGCAAGAUUAAGAGGGGAGCGAGGUGUUUUGAGAUUUUAUAUGUUAAUAAUGGGUAAAUUAGGUGUGGUAGAAAGUUUAUUAACAAGUGAAGCAUGAUAAUUUUAUAGUAAGGGAAUUUUAUAAAUUGAAUGCAUGUGUUAUGUAAGGUAGAAAUGAGUUUAUUGGUUAUAAUGUAUAACAUAUGGCUUGACUUAGGAGGAGUUGCAGAAUGUAGGAAAAUAUGGAAUCCAAUAAUGCAUAUAUUUCUUGAAAUAGUUUUUGAUCACUUUACAUAAAAAGGGGCAAAUUAGCUUAAGUGAUCACUAGGAGGUCAUAUUUAGAAAGGUUACCAUGCCUAUAAUAUAUGUCGCACCCGACAUUGCGGCGAUCUUUAAAGUAUCUCCAAAUGAAAAUAGAACAGAUUUCUUGCAUCUUCUUUUUAUAUAGGGAAAGGUCUAAUUUAAAGAGUCACCACCUAAUAUUAUGACUAAGAACCCUAACUAGUCAACAGAGAUUUUAUGGUACAAGACUGGUUAUGCAAACAAAAAGAUAUUAUUACCCCUUAAAUGUCCUACCUGAGGCAGGCCGCGUUGUUAGUUUUGUCUUAAAUUGCUAAGGGUUUGUUUUGUUUUGUUUUUGAUGGUCUGCUUUUAUUCCCGACUUUGACGCUAGUGAAUAUUCAAUUACGGAUACUUCCAACUCUAGCAUUGAUAAAUAUUACGUAACUAAAGUAAGUGUUGCUACCCAAUUUUUGACAAAUUUUUGAAAAAAAAACCAAAAAUAACAAAAAAUAAUGAAAACCGCAAAAAACACAUUCUUGAUAUAUUUACAUCGUUUUUAGCAUUUUCAACGUUGUCUCAAAAAAAUUUAAAUUUCAAAAGUCUGUUAAACGUGUUCAACUUCUAACGUGUUAUUUUCAAAAAAUUAUUGAUUUUCCUUAUUGAAGCGACGUUGAUAUUGCUCGGUUUCAGAAAAAUCAAAAUAUAGAUGGUUAACCUAGCAUAUGGGAAAAAUGACUCUUUUUUCUAUAAAUAGAGAAGGAUAAAUUAGAGCAAGAGGGGGCAGAGAAAAAUUUGGAAAAAAAAGAGGAUAGGGGAACCUUAAAAAAUCUAUCUUCUCUACCAGCCGCUGCCCCACCCUCUCUUUUGAAAAAAUAGAGAGAACCAAAGGCAACCAAUCUUUCCCCCAUUUUCCAUAGACCUUCCCAUUUCCUCUCCUUCCCCCUUUGCCAUUUCAACACCUCCAACCUAAACCAGUGUCGUCUCCAGCUCCUUCUCCCCUCAACUACAGCCUCUCAUCUCCAUCACCAGGAGCCCCCAUUUCCCUCUACAACAGCCAAACUCCCUGUAAAUCCCGGGAAAAUCAAGGCUGGAUUAAAUUAAAGAAAAUAAACUAAACUAAAAAGAAAUUGGGGCAAAAUGAAUACACUUAAAGAAAAUGGGGCCUAAAUAAAAAUAAGAAUAAUUAUAGAGUAUAAAUACUCCUCUUCUCAUAAGAAAAAAAAAAGAUCUGCAGCUAUCAUAAAGAAAGAAAGAGGGAGUUUUUGUAUCCAUUUUUACAAAUCAAGAGAGAAACACAAAAAUUCCAAGAACCCAUCCAAGAUUAAGGAUUAUACGUAGAAUAAACACUGGUGGGCAAGGGAUUAACAAGAAAAUUUGAACAAGAAGAGAAGA